CCUACGGGAGGCUGCAGUGGGGAAUAUUGCACAAUGGGCGCAAGCCUGAUGCAGCCAUGCCGCGUGUGUGAAGAAGGCCUUCGGGUUGUAAAGCACUUUCGGCGGGGAGGAAGGCGUUAAGGUUAAUAACCUUGGCGAUUGACGUUACCCGCAGAAGAAGCACCGGCUAACUCCGUGCCAGCAGCCGCGGUAAUACGGAGGGUGCAAGCGUUAAUCGGAAUUACUGGGCGUAAAGCGCACGCAGGCGGUCUGUCAAGUCGGAUGUGAAAUCCCCGGGCUCAACCUGGGAACUGCAUUCGAAACUGGCAGGCUAGAGUCGUGUAGAGGGGGGUAGAAUUCCAGGUGUAGCGGUGAAAUGCGUAGAGAUCUGGAGGAAUACCGGUGGCGAAGGCGGCCCCCUGGACAAAGACUGACGCUCAGGUGCGAAAGCGUGGGGAGCAAACAGGAUUAGAUACCCCGGUAGUC
Molecule: ribosomal RNA, 465 nt
Filed under: uncultured Klebsiella sp.
Lineage: Bacteria; Pseudomonadati; Pseudomonadota; Gammaproteobacteria; Enterobacterales; Enterobacteriaceae
Description: bacterial SSU rRNA
Rfam family: Bacterial small subunit ribosomal RNA
Source: RNAcentral